This 465-nucleotide ribosomal RNA is filed under the name uncultured bacterium. Its description in RNAcentral is "partial 16S ribosomal RNA". It matches the Rfam family "Bacterial small subunit ribosomal RNA", at positions 28 to 507 of the family's 1533-position model. The record is from RNAcentral.
GACGAACGCUGGCGGCGUGCUUAACACAUGCAAGUCGUACGGUAAGGCCCUUUCGGGGGUACACGAGUGGCGAACGGGUGAGUAACACGUGAGUAACCUGCCCACAACUUUGGGAUAACGCUAGGAAACUGGUGCUAAUACUGGAUAUGUGCUCCUGCUGCAUGGUGGGGGUUGGAAAGCUCCGGCGGUUGUGGAUGGACUCGCGGCCUAUCAGCUUGUUGUUGGGGUAGUGGCCUACCAAGGCGGCGACGGGUAGCCGGCCUGAGAGGGUGACCGGCCACAUUGGGACUGAGAUACGGCCCAGACUCCUACGGGAGGCAGCAGUGGGGAAUAUUGCACAAUGGGCGCAAGCCUGAUGCAGCAACGCCGCGGGCGGGAUGACGGCCUUCGGGUUGUAAACCGCUUUCAGCAGGGACGAAGCUUUUUGUGACGGUACCUGCAGAAGAAGCACCGGCUAACUACGUG